This 510-nucleotide ribosomal RNA is filed under the name uncultured soil bacterium. RNAcentral's name for it is "bacterial SSU rRNA". It matches the Rfam family "Bacterial small subunit ribosomal RNA", at positions 26 to 524 of the family's 1533-position model. The record is from RNAcentral.
AGAUUGAACGCUGGCGGCAGGCCUAACACAUGCAAGUCGAGCGGUAGAGAGGUGCUUGCACCUCUUGAGAGCGGCGGACGGGUGAGUAAUGCCUAGGAAUCUGCCUAGUGGUGGGGGAUAACGUUCGGAAACGGACGCUAAUACCGCAUACGUCCUACGGGAGAAAGCGGGGGACCUUCGGGCCUCGCGCCAUUAGAUGAGCCUAGGUCGGAUUAGCUAGUUGGUGAGGUAAUGGCUCACCAAGGCGACGAUCCGUAACUGGUCUGAGAGGAUGAUCAGUCACACUGGAACUGAGACACGGUCCAGACUCCUACGGGAGGCAGCAGUGGGGAAUAUUGGACAAUGGCGAAAGCCUGAUCCAGCCAUGCCGCGUGUGUGAAGAAGGUCUUCGGAUUGUAAAGCACUUUAAGUUGGGAGGAAGGUUGUAACGUUAAGUACGUUAGCUAACGUUUGACGUUUAACCGACUAGAAUUAAGACACCGGCUAACUUCGUGCCAGCAGCCGCGUAAC